UACAGAGGGUGCGAGCGUUGUCCGGAAUCACUGGGCGUAAAGGGCGCGUAGGCGGUCUCUUAAGCGUGUGGUGAAAGCCCGGGGCUCAACUCCGGGUCGGCCGUGCGAACUGGGGGACUGGAGCUUGUCAGAGGCAGGCGGAAUUCCGGGUGUAGCGGUGGAAUGCGUAGAGAUCCGGAAGAACACCAGUGGCGAAGGCGGCCCGCUGGGCAGUGGCUGACGCUGAGGCGCGACAGCGUGGGGAGCAAACAGG
RNAcentral lists this ribosomal RNA (253 nucleotides) under uncultured bacterium. Its description in RNAcentral is "partial 16S ribosomal RNA". It matches the Rfam family "Bacterial small subunit ribosomal RNA", at positions 524 to 776 of the family's 1533-position model. The record is from RNAcentral.